This 802-nucleotide ribosomal RNA is filed under the name uncultured bacterium. RNAcentral's name for it is "bacterial SSU rRNA". It matches the Rfam family "Bacterial small subunit ribosomal RNA", at positions 8 to 796 of the family's 1533-position model. The record is from RNAcentral.
AGAGUUUGAUCAUGGCUCAGGACGAACGCUGGCGGCGUGCUUAACACAUGCAAGUGGAGCGACGAACCAGGGCUUGCCCUGGGGCAGAGCCGCGAACGGGUGAGUAACACGUGGGUAACCUGCCCCGAUGACUGGGACAACCCGAGGAAACUCGGGCUAAUACCGGAUGUGCUCUCGUCACAUCAGUGACGUUAGGAAAGGUAGCUUCGGCUUCCGCAUUGGGAUGGGCCCGCGGCCCAUUAGCUUGUUGGUGAGGUAACGGCUCACCAAGGCUUCGAUGGGUAGCUGGUCUGAGAGGACGAUCAGCCACACUGGGACUGAGACACGGCCCAGACUCCUACGGGAGGCAGCAGUGGGGAAUCUUGCGCAAUGCGCGAAAGCGUGACGCAGCAACGCCGCGUGCGGGAAGACGGCCUUCGGGUUGUAAACCGCUUUCAGUUGGGACGAAGCCUGUGCCGUUAAUAGCGGUUAUGGGUGACGGUACCUUCACAAGAAGCCCCGGCUAACUACGUGCCAGCAGCCGCGGUAAUACGUAGGGGGCAAGCGUUGUCCGGAAUCAUUGGGCGUAAAGCGCGUGUAGGCGGCUGGGUAAGUCCGCUCUGAAAGCCCGGGGCUCAACCCCGGGAGGCGGGUGGAUACUGCUCAGCUCGAGUCCGGAAGAGGAGUGUGGAAUUCCUGGUGUAGCGGUGAAAUGCGCAGAUAUCAGGAGGAACACCAAUGGCGAAGGCAGCACUCUGGGACGGUACUGACGCUGAGACGCGAAAGCGUGGGGAGCAAACAGGAUUAGAUACCCCGGUAGUCC